RNAcentral lists this transfer RNA (83 nucleotides) under Parcubacteria group bacterium ADurb.Bin159. RNAcentral's name for it is "tRNA-Leu". It matches the Rfam family "tRNA". From Rfam's summary of the family: Transfer RNA (tRNA) molecules are approximately 80 nucleotides in length. Their secondary structure includes four short double-helical elements and three loops (D, anti-codon, and T loops). The record is from RNAcentral.
GGGGAUGUGUUGGAAUGGUAGACAAGGAGGUCUCAAAAACCUCUGGACGCGAGUCCAUGUGGGUUCAACUCCCACCAUCCCCA